This 3562-nucleotide long non-coding RNA is filed under the name Anser cygnoides (Swan goose). Its description in RNAcentral is "lncRNA (ENSACDG00005018617.1)". Lineage: Eukaryota; Metazoa; Chordata; Aves; Anseriformes; Anatidae. The record is from RNAcentral.
GGCUGCCACCAAACGGGGACACCAGCACCUCUGGGGUGUGGGAUCACUCCUGUGUGACAAACCCAGGGAGCCCCUCUUGGGCAGCCCCACCAAAGAGGGGAUAUCCGGGACUGCACCAGGGGACCUGCAGGACCCCAGAGAUGGGGGACAUGGGGACAAACGGUGCUGGCACAGCUGGGGCCUGCGGGCAGCCCAGCGCUCCCCCCUUUGUCCCCAGAUGAGAUGUGAGAGAAGAGAUGGCAGCUGAACGUAGCACGUGGAAGCUGGAGAGCUGGGAGCAGCGAGUGAAAGCUGGCAGUCGGCAAAUGCAGAUGCUGAAAAUAUCAAUGAAAGCCAUCGGCUGGCGGAGUCGCGGGGAGCAGGAGAUAAUUGUGGAAGCAAACAGAGAGAAAAUCAACUGCAGGCAGCAGCAGCCUGGUCCGGAGGUGAGGGAAAGGUGACGAAGCUGUGGCUCGGCAGAAAUUCCGCUCCAGGUUGUGCUGAAGUGCAGGACGAUGUGUUCGCCUUGGUGUGAAAGGGAAGGGCACCAUCCUGCGCUGGUCUGCAUGCCCCGGAGCUGGGGGCAGCGGGGAGCUCGCAUCCUGUAUGGAGCCAGGAGGGUCUGGCUGAGCUGCCCGUGUUCAGGGCCUCUGCCUUGCAGGGAGGAUGCCGCAGCUCCAUCGGGGUGCAGGGGCACCUCUGCUCUGUUCUGCUCCGGCCAGGGCCGCCUCCCAGCCCUCGUUGCCUCCUAAUGGAUGGCUCCGUUCCUCCUGCUCCCCUCUCGGAAGAGGCCUGCAGAAUAAAUCAGUGCAGAAGACAGAUUAUGGCAACUAAAGACUCCAAAUGAGAUGAUAAUUGCCGUGGUAAUGACAGCGAAGAAGACCUGAUGCUGCGGAUAAGGAAAUAUCUCCACUGCUCUCGGCUGGUGCCCGGCCCGGGGCUGGUGCGGGUGGCACUGUGGGGACUGUCCCCAGGGCGCUGUGACCGGGCACCGCUCCCCUCCCAGGCUGCUGCUGCGGGGGCCCGGGGCUGCCCCAGCACCACCUUUGCCCCAGGAGCCCCACGCAGCGCUUGGGCACCCAGGGUCCAUCCGUGCGGCUCCCCAGCACCCGCAGCGUGUCCCAGAGGAGGCAGGGAUGCUGCCGCCCCAUGCGGUGCUGGGCUGUGCCUGGCACCCCGGGGUGUGGGACCGGGCACCGGCCGGGAGCUCUCGGUGCCUGGGGCUGCUCCUCUGCCCNGGGGCCUGAUCCUGCAGCCCACCGUGCCCCCAGCACCUGCGGCUGCAGGGGCACCGGUUGUGGUGUGGGGAUCAGCAGGGGGCCAGGAGCUGGGGCUGGGGCGCUGGGCACGAGGCAGGCGGCACUGCCGGGGCUGUUUGCCUGCCUCUCCCGCCGGCUGCGUGUCAGCUCUAAUUAGGCAAACUUCUGUAUUCAUUGCGAGCCCAGCCAGCGGAGAAUUCCACAAUUGAAUUUUAAUGCCCUAAAAACACAUUACAAUCAGCCUGAUUAAUUAAGAGAUGGCUUAACACGGUGACCGGGCUGCAGAGGGACACUUCAGGCAGGACCACGGGGCUGCAGCGUGCCGGGGGCCAGCAGAGCCGGUCCCGUCCCCAAAUCCCCACAGGGCUGCAGGAGGGGACAGGGAGCUGGGGACGUGCCCUGGCGGUGCCCAUAGUGGUACCGGAUCCCUCCCCGUGUCCCACCACCAGGACCAUCGGUGCUGUGCACCCCGCAGCUGCUCCCCAGCCGAUGGGUGAUGGCACAAGCCCGCAGGUGCCCUGCAGCAGAUUUGGGGCCGGUGACAACGCCGGGCGCGCUCCCCGGGUGCAGGCAGCCGCCGACAGCGUGAUUGCAAGCGUCUGCUUAAAUAUUUGUGCGGAGCGACAAAGCCCUGGGCUGGCGGGGAAAUCGCUCCCUGCCGAGGUGGCUGUUAAGGGGCUGAUUGGCACCAAGAUUACAGGGGUGCAGGGGAAUCGCUCGGAGCUGACAAAAUAGUUGUGACAAACGUGCGUGUCGGGGGCGAGGGAGGCGGGCGCAGCCGCGGCGCCAGCACGGGCAGCCCUGAAGAGGGGCAAAGCCCGGGGCAGAGCCCAAAAUUGGUGUCUGUGGUGGGUGAUGGAGGGUGACCGGCGUAAAACGGGUGGGAAAUGGGGAAAUUCAUAAUCGUGGUAAAGGAGAAGUUACAAGUGGCAGCGCAUAAAUCAGGGGGAAAUUGAUAAAGGGAGCCUCUCGCCAGGAAGGGACCGGCAGAGGAGGGAGGAAUGUCUAAAGCAUAAUAAGGCCAAAAGAAAUCCUGGCAAGGCUAUAAAUCCUGCACCCGCUGGAAUUGUUCGAGCGCUAAUGAUCAUGCAAAAACGCCAGACACGUUUAACAAAUAUUUCUGCUCUGUAUUUGGAAAGAAGCGGGACGACAUGUUUGAAUCAUACAAGAGUGAUGAAGCCGUCUAUUAAUUACUGCCGGGAAUGUUAAACAACAUCUGCCAGCUCAGCAGGCCCAGGCACCGCCUGCACCGGCCUCCUCCAAGAGCUGGAGGAGAAUUUGGCCUCCUCGUUAAUUUCCCGUGAAAUCUUGCGAUGGCACGAAGAUCCCAGAGACCCACGUGGGGCGAGCCCACCCAUGCCGCCGGGGCCAAGGCAGAUGGACCGAAAGCGGCCAAAUAGCAGGAAAAUGAUGCUGAGGGGCCCAGGGGUGCGGGGCGCUGGGCCUUCGCCUCCUUGUCUUGGCCUUACUGGGAUCGAUAUCACGUUCAGCCCCGGCUCGAUGCUCGCUGAUGAAGAAUAGCCAUAGCGCCGGCGGCGGCGUGCGUUUGUUUCCCAGCGUAUGAUGUAUGGAUUUUCAGCCAAGCGUUUUCGGAGGCUGCAACGCGGCGAGAUCGCUAAAGCGCCUCGCAGAAAUCCUCACCCAGGCUUUGGGGAGAGGUUGGCAAGGUUCCCCACAUCGUGCCCAGCAGUGGCACUAUUACAGGUUAAAGCUGAAAGCCAAAAAGAAAAGCAACCCCCCCAGCUCUGCCGAAUUAAAGGGGCUGUUAAUCCAGCUGAACGAGAGCGAGUUUCCCUGGUCCCAAGCGGAAACACCUCACAUUUCUGGCAGGGGGCCGGCUGCUGGGGAAGGCUUUUUGUCUGCUGGUACCCCCUCAUCCAGAUGGGAUGGGUUUUGGGACAACUGCCCACCCGGCAGGGUGACAGGCGCGGGUGGGACGUGCCACCCAGCCACCCCAGCCCGUGGUGGCGCAGCCCUCCUGCCCCCCGAGGGUGGCAGCCGAGCCUGGGGACAGGUAGUUAAAAAUGCAGAAAUGUCAAUUUAAAUUAAAACACGGCUUGCGAAGAGAGAGAGACAGAGACGAAAUCUUGCCCGCAGCACAAUGAGCAGGGGGACUUAGGGGGUGCUGUGAAGACGCUGUCCCCGUGGGCUCCGAGUUGGCUUGGCCACGUGCUGCUGGUGCCAUGGGGCACCCCAAGGCACCAUGCCGGGGCAGGGGGCCCUGCCGCCUCCCCACCCCUGCAGUCACAGAGGCCACAGCCGGGUCUGCGCCAAAAUGUCAGCUUGCUAAUAAAACGAGCCAGAGCUACGCUCUCCCCGGGACC